Sander lucioperca (pikeperch) is the source of this 1660-nucleotide long non-coding RNA. RefSeq lists it as uncharacterized. The record is from RefSeq and is a predicted model, not a curated record. The transcript has 2 exons. Lineage: Eukaryota; Metazoa; Chordata; Actinopteri; Perciformes; Percidae.
CCUAAACGCACCUUAGAUUGUUAAAAUAGGGCCCGUUCGUGUUAGGUAAUCGUGCCUUCAGUUUGUUUGUUUUUUCCAUUAUCAAGGUACAGGCUACAUUGCCCACUAUGUGGAGCUCUUGUUCUAUAUUUCUGCAGUGAGUAUCUGGAGGGUAUGAACAUCUAAUUUUGGCAGAGUGUAGCUCUGAAUGUCAGUUUUCAUGUUGGUUUCUGUAAACAUUUUAAUGGAAGCAGAGUCUCAUUCUGACCUGAGCUGACCUAUGACCGCUGUACAGUACAGAAUGGCUUUAAGGUCACAAGUGUGUGUGCACCACACACAGCCUGAGGGAUUUUCUCUGUCAAGUCUAUCCAGUCAAUUGUCGUGUGGUAACAGAGCUUUCAGUAACAACACAGCAUAUAUUUUUGUAUGGUUUUGAUGACAGGAUCCUGGCCUUCAAACGUUGAGCUUACUCUCCUUUUGACUGGAUCAUGAAAUAAAGUCUUGCAUUCAGCAGCAGGCCAAUUUAAUAAGCCAAAGUGUUUGUAAUGAUUCUGUUUCGGCUUGCCACAAUGUUGGCCAUGCAGCAACUCAGUGAGCUGUACUGCAUGUGUUAUGUGUGUGUUGCUUCGCAGUCAUUACAUAAACCAAAGCACUUGCCAUACCAUAGGAGCAGCUGCAGAAGGAAUCUGGGAAUACAUAACACACGUUUCAAAACUCAUGGAGCAGUAAAGAGGAUGGAGGUCGGAGCUUUGGAUUGUGUCCUGGUUGUGACCUUUUUAAAGAUUGUUUUCCCCCGGGGCUUUGAAUUUUUUAAUCAUCUACACAGAUGCUCACAGUUGAGGCAAUCAUUGCACUGUUCUCUGUCAUGGAGCAGCUCCGUUGGGGGUUUAGUUUUUUCCUCAAGGGUACCUUGACAGUUUGGAGCAAAUUUUUUUUGUACAGAGAUUCAAAGUGGAGACUACUUUGUCUGUCUGUCUCUGGAACUAUUGUAUUCUUACCCACUCAAAGGUGCCUACACAAAGGAGCUUCUGCAGGGAGCGAUUGUAGUUUGCUGUUCCUCACCAUCUCACCUCUUCCAUCACUAGAGGUUUUAAGUUUGAAUUACACAAUUCUUGUCAUCUUUUCACACUCAAAUCUGUCUUUGUCUGAGCAACAAAAAGUGUCCCUAUUGCAACCAUCGGCUUAUUGUUGCAUCCUGAGGCAGCAGCAGGAGUCUGGGGCAGGGUGACCUGCAUGGCUGCUAACUAGUCUGCAGUGUGUACUUGGUUAAGACACUGAGGUCGUAGAGAGCAAUAUGGAUCAAAUCCUCAAUUGAAGUUUAUGUAAUUUUAUGUCGUGAUAUAUCGAUACAAGUCAAGAUAUAGUACAUUUUCUGAAAAAAUCAAUUAAGAAUUUAGUUUGUGGAAAAAAUAACCAGACAGGAAAGUCUGUUUUUAAUUUGUACCUGAAGAAUCAAGGUGCUUAAUUACAUUUAUAUUUGAUGUAACCUUUAUUUAUCCUGUUCACACUUGUUUUUACUGCAACAGUUUGGGAGAAUAAUGGCAGAUGGAGGGAGUGAUACACAUCCAGUGGUGCUACUGGCCACUAAGCUUGGUCAGUCUAAGAGGAAAGGUUAUGAUUUAUGUUCAUCUGGUUAUGCACCCCAAGGUUGUUGGGACAUACUGUACUGUAAAAUCUAUCA